GGAUUGUGACUCAGUGGUAGAGCUCUUGUCUAGCACAUGCGAGGUCCUGGGUUCAAUCCUCAGCACCA
Molecule: transfer RNA, 68 nt
Filed under: Marmota monax (woodchuck)
Lineage: Eukaryota; Metazoa; Chordata; Mammalia; Rodentia; Sciuridae
Description: tRNA.Ala
Source: RNAcentral